This is a long non-coding RNA of Triticum dicoccoides, 663 nucleotides long. RefSeq lists it as uncharacterized. Lineage: Eukaryota; Viridiplantae; Streptophyta; Magnoliopsida; Poales; Poaceae. The transcript is spliced from 4 exons. The record is from RefSeq and is a predicted model, not a curated record.
GUUUUACCACCCGAGGAUACAUCCAAAGUACAGGUAAAUUAGACAUUUCCCUGUGCGAGAUCAAAUGACUUGAGCUUUACAUUGGUUCAACUGUCCCUGUCAUCAAAUAUUAUGUUUGCAAGAUGAACAAGACCUUUGUCACUCCUGGACUGAGGAUGUACUUCUGUCGCUUCACAAAAAAUGCAUCUAAAGCACCAUCUCAAUGACCGGCCGAGGACGUGAUGGUUAGUCUCAGCACUGGAGAUGUUAUGAGACAGGUCUGGAUGAUGAUGGGUACGGACAAGAGACAAACAAUAACAACAAUUGGUCAGACUUUGUCAAAGAGGCAGGGACUAGAGAGUAUUAGAUAUGUGUCUUUGCCUUCAAAAUUGAAAAUGGGAAACCAUUGCUCACCGUCCAUAAGCUUUGAAAGGCUAAGGUUAAUGUGCCCUGUGAAGUUUUUUUUUGAGGGAUAAUGUGCCCUGUGAAGUUGAUCGAGAAGGCAACCGUGUGGUCUCAAGAACCUUGUGGUCAAGUGGUUACCGUAAAUACCCUCUCAUGUUCACGUUUUUCCUACCAAACUUAAUGUCAAGUGGUUACAUAGUUGUCUCACCGACGCACUAAACUGAAUGUUGCCUUAUUUCUCAUUACGGUGUUGAACUGGAUGAUGUUUUGCUCCUAUUA